This 833-nucleotide long non-coding RNA is filed under the name Equus asinus (donkey). RNAcentral describes it as "lncRNA (ENSEASG00005030418.1)". The record is from RNAcentral. Lineage: Eukaryota; Metazoa; Chordata; Mammalia; Perissodactyla; Equidae.
GGUGAUAGCCCACCAGACUUGAAUUCAGUCUCACGUUCGCCAUCUAGGAGCUGGGUAACCUUGACAAGUUUCUUAAACUGAAUCUCAAUUCUCUUAUGCAUAAAAGUGGAUUUUGAGGAUUCAGUGAGGUAGGGCUUCUCUGAUUCAUAAUACCAGACCACGUGGGAGCUGCGGCCUUUGCCUACGGCUUGUUCACAGAGGCUGAAGAGGGAAACUGUCUUUGAGAACAAGCCCCAACAACACCUGGAGCAGUGAGUAAACUAACCUGGAAACGCUGACCCGUGGCUUUCCUUGGUGAAAAUGUGCCUGGUUUAUCCCCUGGAGCCACUCCCACCACUAGCUGUUCUGCAUAUGAAUUUGGGACCAUGUUUUUCUUCACACUUGGCUGGGAGCCUGAUUAUCUGAACCAUAACUAGGAGACAUGGGCAUUCUGAACAUCAAGACAGAACUGCUGAUAGAAACGGCAGAGCCCUUGCUGUUGGUUUUCUAAGUGCAGCAAGUUUCUGUGAUCCCAGGGGGAGUCUGGUCUGCCUUGGGGGUCCCGCUGGGGACAGAGUGGGCUCUAACCUGGAGGCACCAACCUGAACCUGGCUGACACUUAAGCUGACAAAACUUCAGCAGAGACGCAGGAACCAUCACUUCAGAAGCGCCGGGGCCUUUGAACUGAGGCUAGGCGGCUGGCCUAGAAAGUGGAGCAGGCACGCAGGCAGUCCUAACGAGGCGGGCUGGGGGGUCAAAGCCUUAUUUGCGUUCAUUUCACUCAUUAUUAUGUGGCAUUAGGGAAAUUUUCGGCUGAGCAGAGUGCCCUUGACAUGUAACUUCCUGUGCUCUCU